UUACCUGACGAGCUGAGAGGAGGUGCAUGGCCGUCGCCAGCUMGUGCCGUGAGGCGUCCUGUUAAGUCAGGCAACGAGCGAGACCCCUAUCGGUAAUUGCUAACUGCCCAGAGAUGGGUAGAGGCUAGUUACAGAGACUGCCGUUGAUAAAACGGAGGAAGGAAGGGGCCACGGCAGGUCAGUAUGCCCCGAAACUCCUGGGCCACACGCGGGCUGCAAUGGUAGGGACAAUAGGUUCCGACCUCGAAAGAGGAAGGCAAUCCCGAAACCCUACCCCAGUUGUGAUCGAGGAUUGAAACCCGUCCUCGUGAAUAUGGAAUCCCUAGUAACCGCGUGUCAUCNCCGCGCGGUGAAUACGUCCCUGCUCC
RNAcentral lists this ribosomal RNA (368 nucleotides) under uncultured archaeon. RNAcentral's name for it is "bacterial SSU rRNA". It matches the Rfam family "Archaeal small subunit ribosomal RNA", at positions 968 to 1335 of the family's 1478-position model. The record is from RNAcentral.